RNAcentral lists this ribosomal RNA (406 nucleotides) under uncultured bacterium. Its description in RNAcentral is "partial 16S ribosomal RNA". It matches the Rfam family "Bacterial small subunit ribosomal RNA", at positions 30 to 526 of the family's 1533-position model. The record is from RNAcentral.
AUUGAACGCUGGCGGCAGGCCUAACACAUGCAAGUCGAACGAGUGGCGGACGGGUGAGUUAUGUCUGGGAAACCGCCUGAUGGAGGGGGAUAACCACUGGAAACGGUAGCCAAUACCGUAUACCAACAGAUGUGCCCAGAUGGGAUUAGCGAGUUGGUGGGGUAACGGCUCACCAAGGAGACGAUCCCUAGCUGGUCUGAGAGGAUGACCAGCCACACUGGAACUGAGACACGGUCCAGACUCCUACGGGAGGCAGCAGUGGGGAAUAUUGCACAAUGGGCGCAAGCCUGAUGCAGCCAUGCCGCGUGUAUGAAGAAGGCCUUCGGGUUGUAAAGUACUUUCAGCGGGGAGGCGUUACCCGCAGAAGAAGCACCGGCUAACUCCGUGCCAGCAGCCGCGGUAAUUC